GUGAAUUCAGAGAAAUUCCUUGGCUCCUGAUUCUCACUUUUACUGUCUACAGAAUGGUGAAAGUGACACAUUUCAGAUUUGGAAGUCUCACAUGGCAGGAUGUAGUCUGUAAAUUGCAAAGCAUUAUGUAUCUGUGGGGACAUAGUUAGAACUGUAAACAUGGCCACAGAUUGGAUAUGGGAGUCAAAUGCGAAGAGGAGGUCAUGCUCACUCCAAGAACUGCAGACAAGCGGGAGUAGCAGGGUCUGGGAGAGACUACAGCUGUGGUAUAAGGAGGCGCCCUGGCUGCUGGAGAGAGAUUUCUGGAGUCAUCUAGGAGUUUUGCUGAGAACCAAAAGCGCUGGGGAAGAAGAGGUGAGAAGAAGCAGAAAUGAAGCUCCAGCAAGUAGUCUUACAAGGCUGCAGACAUGGAACAUUGGUUUUGCUUAUUUAUCUCGAUCCAGUAGAUGGUCCUGUCUUGGGCUGGUGGUCUUUCAUGCCACACAGUCAUGCAUAUUUUCACUGUGUUAAAUAAAUAUUUAAGAAAUAAUAAUUGAUCACAUAAUGAAGUUUGGAGGUUGACCUGGCCCCUUACAUC
Long non-coding RNA from Capra hircus (goat), 577 nucleotides. NCBI's taxonomy places the organism in Eukaryota, Metazoa, Chordata, Mammalia, Artiodactyla, Bovidae. The record is from Ensembl.